AGCAUAUCAAUAAGCGGAGGAAAAGAAACCAACAGGGAUUGCCUUAGUAACGGCGAGUGAAGCGGCAACAGCUCAAAUUUGAAAGCUGGCCCUUUCAGGGUCCGCGUUGUAAUUUGUAGAGGAUGAUUCGGCGAGGGCUCCCGCCUAAGUCCCCUGGAACGGGGCGUCAUAGAGGGUGAGAAUCCCGUAUGCGGUGGGCUGCCUUAGCCAUGUGAAUCUCCUUCGACGAGUCGAGUUGUUUGGGAAUGCAGCUCUAAAUGGGAGGUAAAUUUCUUCUAAAGCUAAAUACCGGCCAGAGACCGAUAGCGCACAAGUAGAGUGAUCGAAAGAUGAAAAGCACUUUGGAAAGAGAGUUAAAAAGUACGUGAAAUUGUUGAAAGGGAAGCGCUUGCAACCAGACUUGUCCGCAGUUGCUCAGCCGGUCUCCUGACCGGCGUACUCUUCUGCGGCCAGGCCAGCAUCAGUUCGGGCGGUCGGAUAAAGACCUCGGGAAUGUGGCUCCUCUCGGGGAGUGUUAUAGCCCGGGGUGGAAUGCGGCCAGCCUGGACUGAGGAUCUCGCUUCGGCAAGGAUGCUGGCGUAAUGGUUGUAAGCGGCCCGUCUUGAAACACGGACCAAGGAGUCUAACAUCUAUGCGAGUGUUUGGGUGUCAAACCCAUACGCGUAAUGAAAGUGAACGGAGGUGGGAACCCGCAAGGGCGCACCAUCGGCCGAUCCUGAUGUCUUCGGAUGGAUUUGAGCAAGAGCAUAGCUGUUGGGACCCGAAAGAUGGUGAACUAUGCCUGAAUAGGGUGAAGCCAGAGGAAACUCUGGUGGAGGCUCGCAGCGGUUCUGACGUGCAAAUCGAUCGUCAAAUUUGGGUAUAGGGGCGAAAGACUAAUCGAACCAUCUAGUAGCUGGUCCUGC
This 905-nucleotide ribosomal RNA is filed under the name Diplodia corticola. RNAcentral's name for it is "partial large subunit ribosomal RNA". It matches the Rfam family "Eukaryotic large subunit ribosomal RNA", at positions 37 to 960 of the family's 3401-position model. The record is from RNAcentral. Lineage: Eukaryota; Fungi; Ascomycota; Dothideomycetes; Botryosphaeriales; Botryosphaeriaceae.